UACAGAGGGUGCGAGCGUUAAUCGGAAUUACUGGGCGUAAAGCGUGCGUAGACGGUUAUUUAAGUCGGGUGUGAAAGCCCCGGGCUCAACCUGGGAAUUGCAUUCGAGACUGAAUAGCUAGGGUACGGUAGAGGGAAGCGGAAUUUCCGGUGUAGCGGUGAAAUGCGUAGAUAUCGGAAGGAACAUCAGUGGCGAAAGCGGCUUCCUGGACCAGUACCGACGUUCAGGCACGAAAGCGUGGGGAGCAAACAUG
This 253-nucleotide ribosomal RNA is filed under the name uncultured bacterium. Its description in RNAcentral is "partial 16S ribosomal RNA". It matches the Rfam family "Bacterial small subunit ribosomal RNA", at positions 524 to 776 of the family's 1533-position model. The record is from RNAcentral.